Papio anubis (olive baboon) is the source of this 2824-nucleotide long non-coding RNA. Lineage: Eukaryota; Metazoa; Chordata; Mammalia; Primates; Cercopithecidae. The record is from Ensembl.
CUGGCCCCUGAAGUGUAGACUCAUUUAUUUAUCUAACUAAUCAAUACAAAUAUAUAAAAAUAUGGUAUACAUAUUCAUUCUGUUAUAAAAUAAACCUUGCUAUGAUCCUUAAUAACUCCCUUUCUUUCUCUCCCUGUACAUAAUCUAUGGCCAAGUUCUGUCAGUUCUAUCUAGAAAAUGUUUCCCAAAGCCAUCUACUUUCUCUAUUUUCAUUGCCAUUUAUGCCAACCCUUCAUAUGGUGGAUGCUGUGAUGCAUGAUCCAGAACUCCCUUUAAGAUUUUCCCAGGUGCUCAGCUAUCAGCCCGCUUUAGGGACUGCCACUACUGAAGAAGCUUACAUCACCUAAGGUUACCCUUUUUCCCUUCCAGGGGCAGCUAUAUCCAGUGACUGAUCCACAUGGUGGUGUAAAAUCCCGCUCCCCUUGUCCAUGUCAACUCUAAGGGGUCAUCUAACCUUCAGAACACCUUUCAGGAUGAUCCUUGAACAUUUCCUCAAUCUCCUCUUUUACCAAUACACACACACUGUCACACACACACACACACCAGACACACACACACACACACACACACACACACACGUCUGUGAGAUUUUGAAUGGUAAUGCAUUAAAACUAUUUGUAAAUGUUCUAGUUCUGAGAGGAACUGGGCUCAACUACAUGGUUUUCUAUUCUAAUUUUUUGAAUGCUUGAAGGCAGGCAUUGUUAGGGGCUGCAGUCAUCUAAAAGCUCAAAUGGGUUGCAUAUCCUAAGAUGAACUCAUUCAAGUGGCUGGAUGAUCAUGCUAGCAUUGGCUGGAAAUGUAGGUGGAGCUUGUGAAUAUGGUCUUUCCGUGGACUUUUCACACUAAGGCAAAUGGAUUCCAAAAAGGAAUCCUCCAAGAACAAAUACUCCAAGAUAUCCGGACAGAGGCUGUAAUGAUGCUUAUAUGAGUUUGAGUCAUCGAUAAUAGACUGUCAUAUCUCCCACGUUCUAUUGGCCAAAUGAGUUUGUUAAGGUCAACAAGGAUUCAAGGGAAGGAUAAUGAGAUCCCAACUUUGGAUGGAGAAGUGUCAAGGUCCUUUCCAGAAGAUCAUGCAGGAUGGGAGAUACUGUGGCUCUCCUUGGUUACAGUCUGCCAGAAUCCACCUCCUCAGUCCACAACAAUUCACAUCCCUCCCACCUGCAAAAUACACUGACUGAUCCUCUAAGUUCCCUGUAAUUUUAUCCCAAUGCAAUGAUCUUGAAAUCUAGGAUCUCUUCAGACAAAUCAAAUGCAGAUAUAGAUGAGGUUUAUGGGUACAAUUCCUCAAGAACAUUUUCUUCCUGUCUGAAAACCGGUAAACCAGUUAGCUGCUCCUGUGUGCACACCCAGCAUACAAGGGUGAUCAGGAAAAGAAUUGUUAUUGGUUAAAUUGUGCCCCUCGAAAUUCAUAUGUUGAAUUUGUAAUCCCCAGUACCUCAGAAUGUGAAGUUAUUUGGAAGUAGAGUCAUUGCAUAUGUAAAUAGGAUGAGGUCAUACUAUAGUAGGGUGGGCUUUUAAUCCAAAACGCCUGGCAUUCUUAUAAAAAGGGGAAAUUUUGACACAGAUAUACAUAGAAGAAAGACAAUCUGAAGAGGAACAGGGAGAAGAUGGUCAUUCAUCUUCUCCAAGGAGAGAGGCUUGCAACAGAUUCCUUCCUCACAGUCCUCAGAAGGAACCAAUUCUGCCAACACCUUGAUUUUGGACUUCCAGCCUCCAGAACUGUGAAGCAAUAAAUGUCUGCUGUCUAAGCCACCUAGUUGCUGGCACUUUGUUAUAACAGCCCUGGCAAACUAAUACAGCAAUAACUGAAGCUAAGCAUACACCUGAAAUCCCAGCUACUGGGGAAGUUGAGGCAGGAGCCCUUCUUGAGCCCUGGAGUUUGAGGCCAGCCUGAACAACAUGGAAAGACUCUGUCUCUAAAAUAUAAAAAUAAAAAUAAAACUAAUUAAAAUAGACACUCUCAUUGAAAAAGAAAAGAAACAGGGGACAUAUAGCAGCCAUUAGUCCACAGCAAUUCCAAAAUUUCAUCAGAAAUGUAUCACUAAUAUCUUAAUUAGAUGCUCCUUGGAUCUAGUUUUUUGUUGAUCUUGGUUCUGCUCUCAGGACUCUAAGCUCUACACUCUGAAAUAUCUCUUCUUUCUUAUAAGAAAUGGCUUAUGGCUUACGUUAGGCCGGACACGGUGGCUCACGCCUGUAAUCUUAGCACUUUGGGGGGCCGAGGCGGGCAGAUCAUCUGAGGUCGGGAGUUCGAGUCCAACCCGGUCAACAUGGUGAAACCCCAUCUCUACUAAAAAUACAAAAAUUAGCCGGGUGCAGUGGCUCAUACCUGUAAUCCCAGCCACUCAGGAGGUUGAGGCAAGAGAAUCGCUUGAACCCGGGAUGUGGAGGUUACAGUGAACCAAGAUGGUGCCAAUGCACUCCAGCCUGGGCAACAGAGCGAGACUCUGUCUCAAAAAAAAAAAAAGAACAGAAAAAGAAAAGAAAAAGAAAAAGAAACGGCUUAUUUUUUGCAGAUGAGUAACUUUCUCUAAUUGUUUCCUUCAAGAAGUUAGGAGUUCAAAGAUACUUUUGUCUCUAUCCUUUUUAAUCCAAGCAUCGAAUGCUUCUGCUAGUAUAAUUAUAGUAAAACAUCUUAUAGGUUUUCUGUAAAUCUUAUUAGGGUUCAUUCCAUUAAAUAAAAUCCAUUCCUCCACAUUUCUGGCUUAGGCUGAGAAUCUGGAUGCUGUGAGACAAAACCCUUAUAUUUCUUAGACACCUUUUGGUUUCGUUGAAAGGGUUUAUGAGGCAUAUUCUUAAAUUAUUUUGAAGUUUUAAUAAAGGGUCC